Molecule: ribosomal RNA, 474 nt
Filed under: uncultured organism
Description: partial 16S ribosomal RNA
Rfam family: Bacterial small subunit ribosomal RNA
Source: RNAcentral
ACACUCCUACGGGAGGCAGCAGUGGGGAAUUUUGGACAAUGGGCGAAAGCCUGAUCCAGCAAUGCCGCGUGAGUGAAGAAGGCCUUCGGGUUGUAAAGCUCUUUUGUCAGGGAAGAAACGGUGAGAGCUAAUAUCUCUUGCUAAUGACGGUACCUGAAGAAUAAGCACCGGCUAACUACGUGCCAGCAGCCGCGGUAAUACGUAGGGUGCAAGCGUUAAUCGGAAUUACUGGGCGUAAAGCGUGCGCAGGCGGUUUUGUAAGUCUGAUGUGAAAUCCCCGGGCUCAACCUGGGAAUUGCAUUGGAGACUGCAAGGCUAGAAUCUGGCAGAGGGGGGUAGAAUUCCACGUGUAGCAGUGAAAUGCGUAGAUAUGUGGAGGAACACCGAUGGCGAAGGCAGCCCCCUGGGUCAAGAUUGACGCUCAUGCACGAAAGCGUGGGGAGCAAACAGGAUUAGAAACCCCUGUAGUCCCAU